Molecule: long non-coding RNA, 188 nt
Filed under: Oncorhynchus mykiss (rainbow trout)
Lineage: Eukaryota; Metazoa; Chordata; Actinopteri; Salmoniformes; Salmonidae
Description: lncRNA (ENSOMYG00000063484.1)
Source: RNAcentral
AGGUAUGUAGCAGACUGUUUGUUUAUUCUGAAGGUAUGUAGCAGACUGUUGUUUAUUCUGAAGGUAUGUAGCAGACUGUUUGUUUAUUCUGAGGGUAUGUAGCAGACUGUUUGUUUAUACUGAAGGUAUGUAGCAGACUGUUUGUUUAUUCUGAGGGUAUGUAGCAGACUGUUUGUUUAUUCUGAGGG